GCUCUCGUAGUGAAAGGGACGAUCACGCGGGUCUCCGGAGCCCGAGAUCCUGGUUCGAUUCCAGGCGAGAGCG
RNAcentral lists this transfer RNA (73 nucleotides) under Sandaracinaceae bacterium. RNAcentral describes it as "tRNA-Arg". It matches the Rfam family "tRNA". Rfam says of the family: Transfer RNA (tRNA) molecules are approximately 80 nucleotides in length. Their secondary structure includes four short double-helical elements and three loops (D, anti-codon, and T loops). The record is from RNAcentral. Lineage: Bacteria; Pseudomonadati; Myxococcota; Polyangiales; Sandaracinaceae.